GAUGAACGCUGGCGGCGUGCUUAACACAUGCAAGUCGAACGGGAAUUAUUUUAUUGAAACUUCGGUCGAUUUAAUUUAAUUCUAGUGGCGGACGGGUGAGUAACGCGUGGGUAACCUGCCUUAUGCAGGGGGAUAACAGUCAGAAAUGGCUGCUAAUACCGCAUAAGCGCACAGAGCUGCAUGGCUCAGUGUGAAAAACUCCGGUGGUAUAAGAUGGACCCGCGUUGGAUUAGCUGGUUGGUGGGGUAACGGCCCACCAAGGCGACGAUCCAUAGCCGGCCUGAGAGGGUGAACGGCCACAUUGGGACUGAGACACGGCCCAGACUCCUACGGGAGGCGGCAGUGGGGAAUAUUGCACAAUGGGGGAAACCCUGAUGCAGCGACGCCGCGUGAAGGAAGAAGUAUCUCGGUAUGUAAACUUCUAUCAGCAGGGAAGAUAGUGACGGUACCUGACUAAGAAGCCCCGGCUAACUACGUG
This 478-nucleotide ribosomal RNA is filed under the name uncultured bacterium. RNAcentral's name for it is "partial 16S ribosomal RNA". It matches the Rfam family "Bacterial small subunit ribosomal RNA", at positions 28 to 507 of the family's 1533-position model. The record is from RNAcentral.